CCCUUAGAUGUUCUGGGCCGCACGCGCGCUACACUGACGAAGUCAGCGAGCAUGUCCUACGCCGACAGGUGCGGGGAAUCUUGUCAAACUUCGUCGUGAUGGGGAUUGAUUAUUGAAAUUCUUGAUCAUCAACGAGGAAUUCCUAGUAAGCGCAAGUCAGCAGCUUGCGUCGAUUACGUCCCUGCCCUUUGUACACACCGCCCGUCGCUACUACCGAUUGAAUGGUUUAGUGAGAUCUUCGGAUUGGCGCCACUGCGGCUCAGCAAUGGGCUCGGUGGAUGCCGAAAAGUUGAUCAAACUUGAUCAUUUAGAGGAAGUAAAAGUCGUAACA
Molecule: ribosomal RNA, 331 nt
Filed under: uncultured eukaryote
Lineage: Eukaryota
Description: partial 18S ribosomal RNA
Rfam family: Eukaryotic small subunit ribosomal RNA
Source: RNAcentral